GGGGAUAUAGCUUAGUUGGUAGAGUGCUUGACUUGCAUGUACAAGGCCCUGGAUUUAAUCCCCAGCACUACAAAAAAAAAUUUUUUUAAAGGUUAAAAAAUAAAGUCAAAAGAAAAACAAGAGAGUUCCACAGAAAAUCCACAUGUCCAGCUUAUCUGGAAAAAUCUAGAGAUUGGCCAUCUGGGCCGAUUCCCU
Molecule: transfer RNA, 195 nt
Filed under: Marmota monax (woodchuck)
Lineage: Eukaryota; Metazoa; Chordata; Mammalia; Rodentia; Sciuridae
Description: tRNA.Ala
Source: RNAcentral